GAUGAACGCUGGCGGCGUGCCUAAUACAUGCAAGUCGAGCGAACGGACGAGAAGCUUGCUUCUCUGAUGUUAGCGGCGGACGGGUGAGUAACACGUGGAUAACCUACCUAUAAGACUGGGAUAACUUCGGGAAACCGGAGCUAAUACCGGAUAAUAUUUUGAACCGCAUGGUUCAAAAGUGAAAGACGGUCUUGCUGUCACUUAUAGAUGGAUCCGCGCUGCAUUAGCUAGUUGGUAAGGUAACGGCUUACCAAGGCAACGAUGCAUAGCCGACCUGAGAGGAUGAUCGGCCACACUGGAACUGAGACACGGUCCAGACUCCUACGGGAGGCAGCAGUAGGGAAUCUUCCACAAUGGGCGAAAGCCUGACGGAGCAACGCCGCGUGAGUGAUGAAGGUCUUCGGAUCGUAAAACUCUGUUAUUAGGGAAGAACAUAUGUGUAAGUAACUGUGCACAUCUUGACGGUACCUAAUCAGAAAGCCACGGCUAACUACGUG
This 497-nucleotide ribosomal RNA is filed under the name uncultured bacterium. RNAcentral's name for it is "partial 16S ribosomal RNA". It matches the Rfam family "Bacterial small subunit ribosomal RNA", at positions 28 to 507 of the family's 1533-position model. The record is from RNAcentral.